Long non-coding RNA from Brienomyrus brachyistius, 669 nucleotides. RefSeq lists it as uncharacterized. NCBI's taxonomy places the organism in Eukaryota, Metazoa, Chordata, Actinopteri, Osteoglossiformes, Mormyridae. The transcript is spliced from 3 exons. The record is from RefSeq and is a predicted model, not a curated record.
CAAAAAACACAAGCCGGGGUUUCCUUUAACUGAAGUAGGCAGGCGUCUUUGUUCCCAUGACAAAAUAAACGCUUGCCUUGUGAAGCCUUUGCGGUGGAAGUGCACAGGCUUAGGGUUCCCUUGGAUACAGUAACAACAUUCACCCUGGAACACGAGCGCGGCUCGCCGAAGCGAGACAUCCGUCCCAGGUCCCGGGGGAGAGAGGCCUCCAAACGCCUGAAUCCGAAGAUAAGGGAGGUCAAUGCGCAUUGGUGACCUUUCUCAUGCCAACCGGAUUCUCUCAGGAUGCUACAGCGGGGGAAUAUCCAGAAAUCACUGGAGGAGCGCUCUCUUCACUCUGACCAACCCGGACCCAUCUCUGCACAGGGCUUCCGAUGCUCCUUAAUGGAGAGAUUGGGUCCUGCUGGUGGUCACGAGUCUCCAAGGAGCCUGCAGAGGUCUGCUGGGGUGGAUGGGGAAUCUAACGGUCGUCGGCAGAGGGGGAACGCAAAAGGAAGAGUAGAGCCACACCGAAAGCUAAGCAGAUCAUCUGCUCUCUGUGGUCAGAGGGGCGGAGUCCAGAGAGAAGAAGAUGACAUCACUGCAAGUGACAACCAAGGUAGAAGAGGGCCACCUGUGGCCAUGCCUUCACAUAUCACCAGACUCUCUCUCAAGAUCUUCUUCCAAAGC